RNAcentral lists this long non-coding RNA (224 nucleotides) under Elaeis guineensis (African oil palm). Its description in RNAcentral is "long non-coding RNA (EGUI_LNC059630)". The record is from RNAcentral. Lineage: Eukaryota; Viridiplantae; Streptophyta; Magnoliopsida; Arecales; Arecaceae.
UUUGCUACUGUAGCAUAGUUUUGAAAUUAAUGUUGAUAGUAAAAGUUACUCCCCUUCUGAAAAAUUUUAAGACUAUGGUCUCAUAUUUCUGUCACUUAAUGAUGUUGUUCUUCAUGAUUGAUGAGAAUAAAAAAUAAAUAUGUGAUGGUCCCAUAUCUUAGGAUAAGCAAGGUAUUAGGUCCUGAACAUAUGGAUGUUCAAAGACUAAUUAUAUCUCCACCCAG